Molecule: non-coding RNA, 72 nt
Organism: Halocaridina rubra (Hawaiian volcano shrimp)
Lineage: Eukaryota; Metazoa; Arthropoda; Malacostraca; Decapoda; Atyidae
Source: the annotation of a GenBank genome assembly
GCCGCGGUGGCUCAGUGGUAGAGUGCGCGAGUUGGAAAACGAAUAACGCAGGUUCGAUUCCACCGCGGGGCG